Molecule: ribosomal RNA, 433 nt
Filed under: uncultured bacterium
Lineage: Bacteria
Description: partial 16S ribosomal RNA
Rfam family: Bacterial small subunit ribosomal RNA
Source: RNAcentral
AACGAACGCUGGCGGCAUGCCUAACACAUGCAAGUCGAACGAGACCUUCGGGUCUAGUGGCGCACGGGUGCGUAACGCGUGGGAACCUGCCCUUAGGUUCGGAAUAACUCCCCGAAAGGGGUGCUAAUACCGGAUAAUGUCUUCGGACCAAAGAUUUAUCGCCUUUGGAUGGGCCCGCGUUGGAUUAGCUAGUUGGUAGGGUAAAAGCCUACCAAGGCGACGAUCCAUAGCUGGUCUGAGAGGAUGAUCAGCCACACUGGGACUGAGACACGGCCCAGACUCCUACGGGAAGCAGCAGUGGGGAAUAUUGGACAAUGGGCGAAAGCCUGAUCCAGCAAUGCCGCGUGAGUGAUGAAGGCCUUAGGGUUGUAAAGCUAUUUUACCCGGGAUGAUAAUGACAGUACCGGGAGAAUAAGCUCCGGCUAACUCCGUG